RNAcentral lists this ribosomal RNA (406 nucleotides) under uncultured bacterium. RNAcentral's name for it is "partial 16S ribosomal RNA". It matches the Rfam family "Bacterial small subunit ribosomal RNA", at positions 30 to 526 of the family's 1533-position model. The record is from RNAcentral.
AUUGAACGCUGGCGGCAUGCUUUACACAUGCAAGUCGGACGAGUGGCGAACGGGUGAGUAAUAUAUUGGAACGUACCGAGUAAUGGGGGAUACCCAAUCAAAAGAUUGCCAAAUCCGCAAAAUUAUUCGGGCGGCAAAUAUCUGUUUAGCUAGUUGUGGGGGUAAAGGCUUACCAAGGCGACGAUCAGUAGCGGGUCUGAGAGGAUGAUCCGCCACACUGGGACUGAGACACGGCCCAGACUCCUACGGGAGGCAGCAGUGGGGAAUUUUGGACAAUGGGCGAAAGCCUGAUCCAGCCAUGCCGCGUGUCUGAAGAAGGCCUUCGGGUUGUAAAGGACUUUUGUUAGGGAAGCGGUACCUAAAGAAUAAGCACCGGCUAACUACGUGCCAGCAGCCGCGGUAAUAC